This 720-nucleotide ribosomal RNA is filed under the name uncultured bacterium. RNAcentral describes it as "bacterial SSU rRNA". It matches the Rfam family "Bacterial small subunit ribosomal RNA", at positions 82 to 836 of the family's 1533-position model. The record is from RNAcentral.
AGUAGCAAUACUAGUGGCAGACGGGUGAGUAACAUGUAGGUAUCUGCCCUUUGGCCUGGAAUAACACGAGGAAACUUGUGCUAAUACCGGAUAAGUCUUUACGGAGAAAGCUUUAUGCACCAUUGGAUGAGCCUGCACUUGAUUAGUUUGUUGGUGGGGUAAUGGCCUACCAAGACUGUGGUCAAUAGCUGAUUUGAGAGGAUGAUCAGCCACAUUGGGACUGAGACACGGCCCAAACUCCUACGGGAGGCAGCAGUGGGGAAUCUUGCACAAUGGAGGAAACUCUGAUGCAGCGAUGCCGCGUGAGUGAAGAAGGCCCUUGGGUUGUAAAGCUCUUUCGUCGGGGAAGAGAAUGACUGUACCCGAAUAAGAAGGUCCGGCUAACUUCGUGCCAGCAGCCGCGGUAAUACGAAGGGACCUAGCGUAGUUCGGAAUUACUGGGCUUAAAGAGUUCGUAGGUGGUUGAAAAAGUUGGUGGUGAAAUCCCAGAGCUUAACUCUGGAACUGCCAUCAAAACUUUUCAGCUAGAGUAUGAUAGAGGAAAGCAGAAUUUCUAGUGUAGAGGUGAAAUUCGUAGAUAUUAGAAAGAAUACCAAUUGCGAAGGCAGCUUUCUGGAUCAUUACUGACACUGAGGAACGAAAGCAUGGGUAGCGAAGAGGAUUAGAUACCCUCGUAGUCCAUGCCGUAAACGAUGUCUGCUAGCCGUUUGGGCACUUAGU